RNAcentral lists this ribosomal RNA (253 nucleotides) under uncultured prokaryote. RNAcentral describes it as "partial 16S ribosomal RNA". It matches the Rfam family "Bacterial small subunit ribosomal RNA", at positions 524 to 776 of the family's 1533-position model. The record is from RNAcentral.
GACAGAGGGUGCGAACGUUGUUCGGAAUUACUGGGCGUAAAGCGCGUGUAGGCGGUCGUGCAAGUCGGGUGUGAAAGCCCUGGGCUCAACCCAGGAAGUGCAUUCGAUACUGGCGUGCUUGAGGACUGGAGAGGAGACUGGAAUUUACGGUGUAGCAGUGAAAUGCGUAGAUAUCGUAAGGAAGACCAGUGGCGAAGGCGGGUCUCUGGACAGUUCCUGACACUGAGACACGAAGGCCAGGGGAGCAAACGGG